Molecule: ribosomal RNA, 494 nt
Filed under: uncultured Sphingobacteriales bacterium
Lineage: Bacteria; Pseudomonadati; Bacteroidota; Sphingobacteriia; Sphingobacteriales
Description: bacterial SSU rRNA
Rfam family: Bacterial small subunit ribosomal RNA
Source: RNAcentral
GCCCGCUCAGAAACUUAAAUGAAUUGACGGGGCCCGCACAAGCGGAGGAGCAUGUGGUUUAAUUCGAUGAUACGCGAGGAACCUUACCUGGGCUCGAACGUAAGAUGACUGUAGGUGAAAGCUUACAUCUCUUCGGAGCAUUUUACGAGGUGCUGCAUGGUUGUCGUCAGCUCGUGCCGUGAGGUGUCGGGUUAAGUCCCAUAACGAGCGCAACCCCUACCUUUAGUUGCCAUCAGGUUAAGCUGGGGACUCUAAAGGAACUGCCUACGCAAGUAGUGAGGAAGGCGGGGAUGACGUCAAAUCAGCACGGCCCUUACGUCCAGGGCUACACACGUGCUACAAUGGCCGAUACAGAGGGCAGCUACCUGGUGACAGGAUGCAAAUCUCCAAAGUCGGUCUCAGUUCGGAUCGGAGUCUGCAACCCGACUCCGUGAAGUUGGAUUCGCUAGUAAUCGCGCAUCAGCCAUGGCGCGGUGAAUACGUUCCCGGGCCUU